UAGGGAAUCUUCGGCAAUGGGGGGAACCCUGACCGAGCAACGCCGCGUGAGUGAAGAAGGUUUUCGGAUCGUAAAGCUCUGUUGUUAAGGAAGAACGAGUGUGAGAAUGGAAAGUUCAUGCUGUGACGGUACUUAACCAGAAAGGGACGGCUAACUACGUGCCAGCAGCCGCGGUAAUACGUAGGUCCCGAGCGUUGUCCGGUUUUAUUGGGCGUAAAGCGAGCGCAGGCGGUUAGAAAAGUCUGAAGUGAAAGGCAGUGGCUCAACCAUUGUAGGCUUUAGAAACUGUUUAACUUGAGUGCAGAAGGGGAGAGUGGAAUUCCAUGUGUAGCGGUGAAAUGCGUAGAUAUAUGGAGGAACACCGGUGGCGAAAGCGGCUCUCUGGUCUGUAACUGACGCUGAGGCUCGAAAGCGUGGGGAGCGAACAGG
This 429-nucleotide ribosomal RNA is filed under the name Bacteroidota bacterium. Its description in RNAcentral is "Bacteroidetes bacterium partial 16S ribosomal RNA". It matches the Rfam family "Bacterial small subunit ribosomal RNA", at positions 355 to 776 of the family's 1533-position model. Lineage: Bacteria; Pseudomonadati; Bacteroidota. The record is from RNAcentral.